AUCCAGCUAUGGAGAAAGCCGCAGGUAGGAGGCCAGGAGAAAUCCUCUGCAGGGGACUUUGGGACAGGCAGGGGGCCGACUUGGAGGCUGAAGCUUUGGGACCAGGGCACACUUGAUUUUGGGGCUUGGAGCCCUGAGGCAGAUCUGCAGGACACAGCCUCGUUAACUCUGAAGUUUAAGUUUAACCCAAAGCUGGGCAUUGAUAAUCCUGUCCUCUCCCUGGCCGAAGACCACGACCCCUAUGGUAACUCCCUCACCCCCUGGCAACCAUUCCCUAUCCCUGGAGGCACCACGGCUCCACACGGCCUCCGAUCUCCUUGGUAACCACUCACUCGGUCUCCCUCUGAUAACAGCCUUGGUUGGGAGUAGAGAUAGGAGGGGCCGGGUGUUUUCUCCUGUCCCAGUCCCUCUGCCCACGAACCCCACCACCCAACACCCAACCAGGCAGAAACUGCCCAGCACCCUAUCAGGACACAGGGUCUGCCAGGCACACGGCGAACCUGUACUUGGGCUGUGCCCUCUCCUCCCCCUUUUCUGCUGCCCAC
Molecule: long non-coding RNA, 545 nt
Filed under: Homo sapiens (human)
Lineage: Eukaryota; Metazoa; Chordata; Mammalia; Primates; Hominidae
Description: HSALNT0182032
Source: RNAcentral